UAGCACAGGUGGUGCAUGGUUGUCGUCAGCUCGUGUCGUGAGAUGUUGGUUAAGUCCCGCAACGAGCGCAACCCCUAUUGUUAGUUGCCAUCAUUCAGUUGGGCACUCUAGCGAGACUGCCGGUAAUAAACCGGAGGAAGGUGGGGAUGACGUCAAAUCAUCAUGCCCCUUAUGACCUGGGCUACACACGUGCUACAAUGGUUGGUACAACGAGUUGCGAGUCGGUGACGGCGAGCUAAUCUCUUAAAGCCAAUCUCAGUUCGGAUUGUAGGCUGCAACUCGCCUACAUGAAGUCGGAAUCGCUAGUAAUCGCGGAUCAGCACGCCGCGGUGAAUACGUUCCCGGGCCUU
Molecule: ribosomal RNA, 350 nt
Filed under: uncultured Streptococcus sp.
Lineage: Bacteria; Bacillati; Bacillota; Bacilli; Lactobacillales; Streptococcaceae
Description: bacterial SSU rRNA
Rfam family: Bacterial small subunit ribosomal RNA
Source: RNAcentral